GACGAACGCUGGCGGCGUGCUUAACACAUGCAAGUCGAACGGAAAGGCCCUGCUUUUGUGGGGUGCUCGAGUGGCGAACGGGUGAGUAACACGUGAGUAACCUGCCCUUGACUUUGGGAUAACUUCAGGAAACUGGGGCUAAUACCGGAUAGGAGCUCCUGCUGCAUGGUGGGGGUUGGAAAGUUUCGGCGGUUGGGGAUGGACUCGCGGCUUAUCAGCUUGUUGGUGGGGUAGUGGCUUACCAAGGCUUUGACGGGUAGCCGGCCUGAGAGGGUGACCGGCCACAUUGGGACUGAGAUACGGCCCAGACUCCUACGGGAGGCAGCAGUGGGGAAUAUUGCACAAUGGGCGGAAGCCUGAUGCAGCAACGCCGCGUGCGGGAUGACGGCCUUCGGGUUGUAAACCGCUUUCGCCUGUGACGAAGCGUGAGUGACGGUAAUGGGUAAAGAAGCACCGGCUAACUACGUGCCGGCAGCCGCGGUGAUACGUAGGGUGCGAGCGCUGUCCGGAUUUAUUGGGCGUAAAGGGCUCGUAGGUGGUUGAUCGCGUCGGAAGUGUAAUCUUGGGGCUUAACCCUGAGCGUGCUUUCGAUACGGGUUGACUUGAGGAAGGUAGGGGAGAAUGGAAUUCCUGGUGGAGCGGUGGAAUGCGCAGAUAUCAGGAGGAACACCAGUGGCGAAGGCGGUUCUCUGGGCCUUUCCUGACGCUGAGGAGCGAAAGCGUGGGGAGCGAACAGGCUUAGAUACCCUGGUAGUCCACGCUGUAAACGGUGGGUACUAGGUGUGGGGUCCAUUCCACGGGUUCCGUGCCGUAGCUAACGCUUUAAGUACCCCGCCUGGGGAGUACGGCCGCAAGGCUAAAACUCAAAGGAAUUGACGGGGCCCCGCACAAGCGGCGGAGCAUGCGGAUUAAUUCGAUGCAACGCGUAGAACCUUACCUGGGUUUGACAUGGAUCGGGAGUGCUCAGAGAUGGGUGUGCCUCUUUUGGGGUCGGUUCACAGGUGGUGCAUGGCUGUCGUCAGCUCGUGUCGUGAGAUGUUGGGUUAAGUCCCGCAACGAGCGCAACCCUUGUUCACUGUUGCCAGCACGUUAUGGUGGGGACUCAGUGGAGACCGCCGGGGUCAACUCGGAGGAAGGUGGGGAUGACGUCAAGUCAUCAUGCCCCUUAUGUCCAGGGCUUCACGCAUGCUACAAUGGCUGGUACAGAGAGUGGCGAGCCUGUGAGGGUGAGCGAAUCUCGGAAAGCCGGUCUCAGUUCGGAUUGGGGUCUGCAACUCGACCUCAUGAAGUCGGAGUCGCUAGUAAUCGCAGAUCAGCAACGCUGCGGUGAAUACGUUCCCGGGGC
This 1345-nucleotide ribosomal RNA is filed under the name uncultured bacterium. Its description in RNAcentral is "partial 16S ribosomal RNA". It matches the Rfam family "Bacterial small subunit ribosomal RNA", at positions 28 to 1380 of the family's 1533-position model. The record is from RNAcentral.